This 281-nucleotide long non-coding RNA is filed under the name Sorghum bicolor (sorghum). Its description in RNAcentral is "long non-coding RNA (SBIC_LNC014249)". Lineage: Eukaryota; Viridiplantae; Streptophyta; Magnoliopsida; Poales; Poaceae. The record is from RNAcentral.
CGGGUGAAGUGCUCACCGAUAUCCGUGCGCUUACGGAUCAUUUCCUGAUGGCGUUACCAAAUAUCAACAAGCAUUUCUGGCGCCGUUGCCGGGGAGAAAGACAGUUUGCUGAGAUAACUUUAAGUCUUGCUAUUAUCUUGUAUUAUACUUUUAUACUUUUAUUCUUUUAUCUUGUUAUUUUUUCCAUCUUUGUGGAUAACUCAAAUUCUACACCUAUUAUUGAAUUUUUUGCACCUUCGGAGACCAGCCAAAGACCAUGGGAGUCAACAAGUCCUUUCUUU